Non-coding RNA from Candidatus Thiomargarita nelsonii, 77 nucleotides. Lineage: Bacteria; Pseudomonadati; Pseudomonadota; Gammaproteobacteria; Thiotrichales; Thiotrichaceae. The record is from Rfam.
AGGAGCCGGAUGAAGCAAAAGUUUCAAGUCCGGUUUUGCAGACCAGUCUCAAUGGUGACAUUAGGGCUGAGUCUAAC